Dipodomys spectabilis (banner-tailed kangaroo rat) is the source of this 220-nucleotide long non-coding RNA. RefSeq lists it as uncharacterized. The transcript is spliced from 3 exons. NCBI's taxonomy places the organism in Eukaryota, Metazoa, Chordata, Mammalia, Rodentia, Heteromyidae. The record is from RefSeq and is a predicted model, not a curated record.
UUUCAAAAUAUUCUCACAUUCAUGUUCUUAUGUGUUUCUUUUGACUUUUUACAUUGAUCCAUAUCUCAAGAUGAUUAUCACAUUAAGGUUCUUCUGUGUUACUUUUGCCCAAGUUGGGAUAGCUGUUUUAUAACUGUGUAGCAUUGAAAAGUUCACUGCAUCCUUAUUAGAUGUGCUUGCUUUCCCUUUAUGAAGUCAACAAGAUUCUGAUAUUCUAUGU